AGUACGGCCGCAAGGCUAAAACUCAAAGGAAGUUCGACGGGGGCCCGCACAAGCGGCGGAGCAUGCGGAUUAAUUCGAUGCAACGCGAACGAACCUUUACCUGGGUUUGACAUACAUCCUGCCGCUCCAGAGAUGGGGCUUCUUUUGGGGGUGUACAGGUGGUGCAUGGCUGUCGUCAGCUCGUGUCGUGAGAUGUUGGGUUAAGUCCCCGCAACGAGCGCAACCCUUGUCGCAUGUUGCCAGCAGCACCUUUGGGUGGCUGGGGACUCAUGCGAGACUGCCGGGGUCAACUCGGAGGAAGGUGGGGAUGACGUCAAGUCAUCAUGCCCCUUAUGUCCAGGGCUUCACGCAUGCUACAAUGGCCGGUACAGAGGGCUGCGAUCCCGUGAGGGGGAGCGAAUCCCAAAAAGCCGGUCUCAGUUCGGAUUGGGGUCUGCAACUCGACCCCAUGAAGUCGGAGUCGCUAGUAAUCGCAGAUCAGCAACGCUGCGGUGAAUACGUUCCCGGGCC
This 510-nucleotide ribosomal RNA is filed under the name uncultured bacterium. RNAcentral describes it as "bacterial SSU rRNA". It matches the Rfam family "Bacterial small subunit ribosomal RNA", at positions 879 to 1380 of the family's 1533-position model. The record is from RNAcentral.